This 497-nucleotide ribosomal RNA is filed under the name uncultured bacterium. RNAcentral describes it as "partial 16S ribosomal RNA". It matches the Rfam family "Bacterial small subunit ribosomal RNA", at positions 28 to 507 of the family's 1533-position model. The record is from RNAcentral.
GACGAACGCUGGCGGCGUGCCUAAUACAUGCAAGUAGAACGCUGAAGAGGGGAGCUUGCUCUUCUUGGAUGAGUUGCGAACGGGUGAGUAACGCGUAGGUAACCUGCCUUGUAGCGGGGGAUAACUAUUGGAAACGAUAGCUAAUACCGCAUAACAAUAGGUGACACAUGUCAUUUAUUUGAAAGGGGCAAUUGCUCCACUACAAGAUGGACCUGCGUUGUAUUAGCUAGUAGGUGAGGUAACGGCUCACCUAGGCGACGAUACAUAGCCGACCUGAGAGGGUGAUCGGCCACACUGGGACUGAGACACGGCCCAGACUCCUACGGGAGGCAGCAGUAGGGAAUCUUCGGCAAUGGGGGCAACCCUGACCGAGCAACGCCGCGUGAGUGAAGAAGGUUUUCGGAUCGUAAAGCUCUGUUGUAAGUCAAGAACGAGUGUGAGAGUGGAAAGUUCACACUGUGACGGUAGCUUACCAGAAAGGGACGGCUAACUACGUG